GCAGGGGAUCGCAAGACCUUGCGCUGAUUGAGCGGCCGAUAUCAGAUUAGCUAGUUGGUGAGGUAAAGGCUCACCAAGGCGACGAUCUGUAGCGGGUCUGAGAGGAUGAUCCGCCACACUGGAACUGAGACACGGUCCAGACUCCUACGGGAGGCAGCAGUGGGGAAUUUUGGACAAUGGGGGCAACCCUGAUCCAGCCAUGCCGCGUGAGUGAAGAAGGCCUUCGGGUUGUAAAGCUCUUUCGGCCGGGAAGAAAUCGCAUGGGUUAAUACCCUGUGCGGAUGACGGUACCGGCAUAAGAAGCACCGGCUAACUACGUGCCAGCAGCCGCGGUAAUACGUAGGGUGCGAGCGUUAAUCGGAAUUACUGGGCGUAAAGCGUGCGCAGGCGGUUUUUUAAGACAGGCGUGAAAUCCCCGGGCUCAACCUGGGAACUGCGCUUGUGACUGGAAGGCUAGAGUAUGGCAGAGGGGGGUGGAAUUCCACGUGUAGCAGUGAAAUGCGUAGAGAUGUGGAGGAACACCAAUGGCGAAGGCAGCCCCCUGGGCCAAUACUGACGCUCAUGCACGAAAGCGUGGGUAGCAAACAGGAUUAGAUACCCUGGUAGUCCACGCCCUAAACGAUGUCAACUAGGUGUUGGGUGGGUAAAACCAUUUAGUACCGGAGCUAACGCGUGAAGUUGACCGCCUGGGGAGUACGGCCGCAAGGUUAAAACUCAAAGGAAUUGACGGGGACCCGCACAAGCGGUGGAUGAUGUGGAUUAAAUUCGAUGCAACGCGAAAAACCUUACCUACCCUUGACAUGUCCAGGAGCCUGAAGAGAUUUGGGUGUGCCCGAAAGGGAACUGGAACACAGGUGCUGCAUGGCUGUCGUCAGCUCGUGUCGUGAGAUGUUGGGUUAAGUCCCGCAACGAGCGCAACCCUUGUCGUUAAUUGCCAUCAUUCAGUUGGGCACUUUAACGAGACUGCCGGUGACAAACCGGAGGAAGGUGGGGAUGACGUCAAGUCCUCAUGGCCCUUAUGGGUAGGGCUUCACACGUCAUACAAUGGUCGGUACAAAGGGUUGCCAAGCCGCGAGGUGGAGCCAAUCCCAGAAAGCCGAUCGUAGUCCGGAUCGCAGGCUGCAACUCGCCUGCGUGAAGUCGGAAUCGCUAGUAAUCGUGGAUCAGCAUGUCACGGUGAAUACGUUCCCGGGUCUUGUACACACCGCCCGUCACACCAUGGGAGCGGGUUCCGCCAGAAGUAGGUAGCCUAACCGCAAGGAGGGCGCUUACCACGGCGGGGUUCGUGACUGGGGUGAAGUCGUAACAAGGUA
Molecule: ribosomal RNA, 1313 nt
Filed under: metagenome
Description: bacterial SSU rRNA
Rfam family: Bacterial small subunit ribosomal RNA
Source: RNAcentral